UUACCUCGCGUGCAGAGCAGAUUCCACAUGGGAUAGCGGGCAAGUGAAUUCUGUCUUAGCAGAAGCUUUAAAAUACAAACAACCUGGCAAAAUACAAUUUUCCAACAGUGUAUCAAUCACUCAUGUACAUAACGAGCACACACAAACCCCAGUUCAGCACUCGCAAUGUAAAAAGUAAAACAAGGUGUCACUGAUGAGCACACACAAGGUGUCACUGAUGUACAUAACGAGCACACACAAAGUAAAAAAAAAGGCGAGUUCACCGGUCGCUGGACAAAUAAGUACGUACUACUGUAGAUGACUUUCGCUAACGGUCGUCAGCUGCAUCUUAUUUCCUUUCUCCUUCCUCCGAUGACAUGAAGUCUCUUCUCCCAGACACGAGCACACAACAGUUUAGCAGGGGACGUGUACUGGAGACGGAACAGUUAGUGCGCCUCAUCUACUGCAAGCGGCACGCUCUU
Molecule: long non-coding RNA, 461 nt
Filed under: Triticum aestivum (bread wheat)
Lineage: Eukaryota; Viridiplantae; Streptophyta; Magnoliopsida; Poales; Poaceae
Description: long non-coding RNA (TAES_LNC003306)
Source: RNAcentral